UCUUGAAACCGUGUGCUUACAAGAAGUUCGAGGCCGUUAAUGGCUGAGAGCGUGCUUUUUGUAGAAUGAACCGGAGAGUUACGAUUGCGUGCAAGGUUAAGGUGCAAAGACUGGAGCCGUAGCGAAAGCGAGUCUUAAUAGGGCGAAUCAGUACGUAGUUGUAGACCCGAAACCGAGUGACCUAUCCAUGGUCAGGUUGAAGGUGGGGUAAUACCUACUGGAGGACCGAACAAGUGGGUGUUAAAAAACCCUUUGAUGAACUGUGGAUAGCGGUGAAAUUCCAAUCGAACUCGGAGAUAGCUGGUUCUAUCCGAAAUACAUUUAGGUGUAGCCUUGCAAUUAGCUUACUGGAGGUAGAGCACUAUUUGGUCUAGGGGCCCUUCAAGGGUUACCAAAAUCAGAUAAACUCCGAAUGCCAGCUAAGUAUGUGCAGGAGUCAGACGGUGAGUGAUAAGAUCCAUCGUCAAAAGGGGAACAGCCCAGAUCACCAGUUAAGGUC
Molecule: ribosomal RNA, 499 nt
Filed under: Oenococcus oeni
Lineage: Bacteria; Bacillati; Bacillota; Bacilli; Lactobacillales; Lactobacillaceae
Description: bacterial LSU rRNA
Rfam family: Bacterial large subunit ribosomal RNA
Source: RNAcentral